GGUUAAGCGACUAAGCGUACACGGUGGAUGCCCUGGCAGUCAGAGGCGAUGAAGGACGUGCUAAUCUGCGAUAAGCGUCGGUAAGGUGAUAUGAACCGUUAUAACCGGCGAUUUCCGAAUGGGGAAACCCAGUGUGUUUCGACACACUAUCAUUAACUGAAUCCAUAGGUUAAUGAGGCGAACCGGGGGAACUGAAACAUCUAAGUACCCCGAGGAAAAGAAAUCAACCGAGAUUCCCCCAGUAGCGGCGAGCGAACGGGGAGCAGCCCAGAGCCUGAAUCAGUGUGUGUGUUAGUGGAAGCGUCUGGAAAGGCGCGCGAUACAGGGUGACAGCCCCGUACACAAAAAUGCACAUGCUGUGAGCUCGAUGAGUAGGGCGGGACACGUGGUAUCCUGUCUGAAUAUGGGGGGACCAUCCUCCAAGGCUAAAUACUCCUGACUGACCGAUAGUGAACCAGUACCGUGAGGGAAAGGCGAAAAGAACCCCGGCGAGGGGAGUGAAAAAGAACCUGAAACCGUGUACGUACAAGCAGUGGGAGCACGCUUCGGCGUGUGACUGCGUACCUUUUGUAUAAUGGGUCAGCGACUUAUAUUCUGUAGCAAGGUUAACCGAAUAGGGGAGCCGAAGGGAAACCGAGUCUUAACUGGGCGUUAAGUUGCAGGGUAUAGACCCGAAACCCGGUGAUCUAGCCAUGGGCAGGUUGAAGGUUGGGUAACACUAACUGGAGGACCGAACCGACUAAUGUUGAAAAAUUAGCGGAUGACUUGUGGCUGGGGGUGAAAGGCCAAUCAAACCGGGAGAUAGCUGGUUCUCCCCGAAAGCUAUUUAGGUAGCGCCUCGUGAAUUCAUCUCCGGGGGUAGAGCACUGUUUCGGCAAGGGGGUCAUCCCGACUUACCAACCCGAUGCAAACUGCGAAUACCGGAGAAUGUUAUCACGGGAGACACACGGCGGGUGCUAACGUCCGUCGUGAAGAGGGAAACAACCCAGACCGCCAGCUAAGGUCCCAAAGUCAUGGUUAAGUGGGAAACGAUGUGGGAAGGCCCAGACAGCCAGGAUGUUGGCUUAGAAGCAGCCAUCAUUUAAAGAAAGCGUAAUAGCUCACUGGUCGAGUCGGCCUGCGCGGAAGAUGUAACGGGGCUAAACCAUGCACCGAAGCUGCGGCAGCGACGCUGAUGCGUUGUUGGGUAGGGGAGCGUUCUGUAAGCCUGUGAAGGUGUGCUGUGAGGCAUGCUGGAGGUAUCAGAAGUGCGAAUGCUGACAUAAGUAACGAUAAAGCGGGUGAAAAGCCCGCUCGCCGGAAGACCAAGGGUUCCUGUCCAACGUUAAUCGGGGCAGGGUGAGUCGACCCCUAAGGCGAGGCCGAAAGGCGUAGUCGAUGGGAAACAGGUUAAUAUUCCUGUACUUGGUGUUACUGCGAAGGGGGGACGGAGAAGGCUAUGUUGGCCGGGCGACGGUUGUCCCGGUUUAAGCGUGUAGGCUGGUUUUCCAGGCAAAUCCGGAAAAUCAAGGCUGAGGCGUGAUGACGAGGCACUACGGUGCUGAAGCAACAAAUGCCCUGCUUCCAGGAAAAGCCUCUAAGCAUCAGGUAACAUCAAAUCGUACCCCAAACCGACACAGGUGGUCAGGUAGAGAAUACCAAGGCGCUUGAGAGAACUCGGGUGAAGGAACUAGGCAAAAUGGUGCCGUAACUUCGGGAGAAGGCACGCUGAUAUGUAGGUGAAGCGACUUGCUCGUGGAGCUGAAAUCAGUCGAAGAUACCAGCUGGCUGCAACUGUUUAUUAAAAACACAGCACUGUGCAAACACGAAAGUGGACGUAUACGGUGUGACGCCUGCCCGGUGCCGGAAGGUUAAUUGAUGGGGUUAGCGCAAGCGAAGCUCUUGAUCGAAGCCCCGGUAAACGGCGGCCGUAACUAUAACGGUCCUAAGGUAGCGAAAUUCCUUGUCGGGUAAGUUCCGACCUGCACGAAUGGCGUAAUGAUGGCCAGGCUGUCUCCACCCGAGACUCAGUGAAAUUGAACUCGCUGUGAAGAUGCAGUGUACCCGCGGCAAGACGGAAAGACCCCGUGAACCUUUACUAUAGCUUGACACUGAACAUUGAGCCUUGAUGUGUAGGAUAGGUGGGAGGCUUUGAAGUGUGGACGCCAGUCUGCAUGGAGCCGACCUUGAAAUACCACCCUUUAAUGUUUGAUGUUCUAACGUUGACCCGUAAUCCGGGUUGCGGACAGUGUCUGGUGGGUAGUUUGACUGGGGCGGUCUCCUCCUAAAGAGUAACGGAGGAGCACGAAGGUUGGCUAAUCCUGGUCGGACAUCAGGAGGUUAGUGCAAUGGCAUAAGCCAGCUUGACUGCGAGCGUGACGGCGCGAGCAGGUGCGAAAGCAGGUCAUAGUGAUCCGGUGGUUCUGAAUGGAAGGGCCAUCGCUCAACGGAUAAAAGGUACUCCGGGGAUAACAGGCUGAUACCGCCCAAGAGUUCAUAUCGACGGCGGUGUUUGGCACCUCGAUGUCGGCUCAUCACAUCCUGGGGCUGAAGUAGGUCCCAAGGGUAUGGCUGUUCGCCAUUUAAAGUGGUACGCGAGCUGGGUUUAGAACGUCGUGAGACAGUUCGGUCCCUAUCUGCCGUGGGCGCUGGAGAACUGAGGGGGGCUGCUCCUAGUACGAGAGGACCGGAGUGGACGCAUCACUGGUGUUCGGGUUGUCAUGCCAAUGGCACUGCCCGGUAGCUAAAUGCGGAAGAGAUAAGUGCUGAAAGCAUCUAAGCACGAAACUUGCCCCGAGAUGAGUUCUCCCUGACUCCUUGAGAGUCCUGAAGGAACGUUGAAGACGACGACGUUGAUAGGCCGGGUGUGUAAGCGCAGCGAUGCGUUGAGCUAACCGGUACUAAUGAACCGUGAGGCUUAACCUU
This 2904-nucleotide ribosomal RNA is filed under the name Escherichia coli. RNAcentral describes it as "23S ribosomal RNA". It matches the Rfam family "Bacterial large subunit ribosomal RNA". The record is from RNAcentral. Lineage: Bacteria; Pseudomonadati; Pseudomonadota; Gammaproteobacteria; Enterobacterales; Enterobacteriaceae.